UUUAAUCUGAUGCCAGCAUCUGUGCAACUCCUAGUCAAAUUUUUCUAUUAAACACUUUUCUUUUUUGCCAGAAAACUCAAAUCAAACAUGGAUGGAGCUUUUCCCCCACGUGCUUUCCUUUCUCCCUCAUUCACAUUCUGGUUGCAGCUAGCAGAUACUGUGACACUGAUUUGUCAAAAUUUCAACACCUUAUUUCAACACCUUUCAAAUCAAGCUUGCAAUAGCAAGAAUCAGAGUCAUAGACUAUCAGUGCAAGUAACAGAUGAAUCUCCCAGGAAACCCCUGUUAAGAACUGAGUGGAGCAUUGCUAAGGGCUUAUGCAAGUGUUCCUCUGCAGAAUCAGGCCAGAUUCCCACCUGAAGGUUCAAGGAUGGCCUUUUCUGCAUCUGUGUUCUGAGUCUGUUGGAGAAGCUGUCCAUACAGCUGCUCAGUACUGCUGCUGCCUAGCACUGUGCAUCGGCCUCCACAUCAACUGUGUAGUGAUUUUAGUGCCAUUUCUGAAAUCUCAGAAGAAACAACUUCCUGGCCUAAAUAAACUUUUGUUUAAAAAAGAUAACAAAGAAUUUAAAAUGAAAGAAAGACAGCUCUGUAGGAAUUUUCUGUAAGAAUAGGGGUCUCCUUAUUAAAGGUAUUUGAGAGGUCAAAUGUUUCGUGGCCACGUAGAUUCUUUUGGUCUUGAUUCUUAAAAUACUCCUUAACUGCAGUCUCCUUCAUAUUACAUAUGCUUCCUCUCUAAUAUACCUUUCUUGGAAUCAAUUCACAUGCAAGUUCUAUCCAAAACAUCUGCUGAAAGUACCUACUCCUGAGAGCACUAAUCUCAAUAUUUACUUAGUUAUGCACUUAUACUGAACAUCCCCAGCUAAUACAAAAGGCAAUUAGUUUGCUGAUUCAUGGACUCUUUUACUUCAGUUUCAGCUAGAAGCAAUAAAAAUUAAGGUUGAAUGUGCCUCUGAAAAGGC
Molecule: long non-coding RNA, 959 nt
Filed under: Cyanistes caeruleus (blue tit)
Lineage: Eukaryota; Metazoa; Chordata; Aves; Passeriformes; Paridae
Description: lncRNA (ENSCCEG00000018309.1)
Source: RNAcentral